Molecule: transfer RNA, 74 nt
Filed under: Betaproteobacteria bacterium
Lineage: Bacteria; Pseudomonadati; Pseudomonadota; Betaproteobacteria
Description: tRNA-His
Rfam family: tRNA
About the family: Transfer RNA (tRNA) molecules are approximately 80 nucleotides in length.
Source: RNAcentral
GAGGUCUUGGUGUAGUGAGAGCACGCGAGGAUGUGACCCUCGAAGCACCGGUUUGAUUCCGGUAGAUCACCCCA